Long non-coding RNA from Bombyx mori (domestic silkworm), 2474 nucleotides. RefSeq lists it as uncharacterized. The record is from RefSeq and is a predicted model, not a curated record. The transcript has 2 exons. NCBI's taxonomy places the organism in Eukaryota, Metazoa, Arthropoda, Insecta, Lepidoptera, Bombycidae.
CCAAAACGCGAAGGCAAGAGUACACAUUUAUAUAUUCAGUUCACUUAAACCUAAGUUUUUGGUAAAAGUGUACAUUUCCCAAAAGUGUACAUUUACCGUAACAUGUAUACAUACAAUUUAGUGUAUCUUUGUAUGCUAUAGAUCUGUGACAGAUACGUUUGACCUCUGGAAGAUUUUGUAGGUAUUCUUUUGAUCUAAGAACCUCCCUGACCCCAGAUCGGAUUAGAUAUUUUUGGUAGCGUUUUUCGUUCAUGGACAUGUGAUGAGACGAAAUGACAAUGAAGUUGGUAAAAGAGUACUAACUAUGAAUGUGGAAGAUAGACCUGUGUAAAGGUAGACCUAAGAAGAAAUGGAUGGUUUGCGUGAAAGACGAUAUAUUGUUUAAGAGGGGACUGAGCGAAGAAAUGGUAUAUGAUAGAGGAGUAUGGAAGGAGAAAACAUGUUGCGCCGACCCCAGGUGCCUGGGAGAAGGGCAGGCGAAUGAUGAUGGUAGCGUUUUUCGUUCGCGUUUGAGAACCAAUUAGAAUUUUGGUCACGUCUUAUUGUCUGAUCACAAUCUCACCAUGCAAAUACUAAUGACUAACAUGACCAUACGUCCCGCUUUGGGCGGAAUUGUCCCGCUGUCCCCAACGAGUACAAAAAUGUCCCGUUUUCAUUUAUCUGUUGUGCAUGUGUUCAUUAGAAACUUACCGAGUACUUACUUAUCCCAAAUCCUUAUUGUAUUACUAAAUACCUACAUACUACUAAAGUAAUUCUAAUUUUGCUGUAGAAAAGUAGUUUUUUGUUGCGAAAUUAUUUAUAAAUAUUAUUGUAAGGGCAAGUCGGUGUAAGAAUUAAGAUCUCAGUGAGGGUAACAGCUGAUGGUUACAGGAAAGGUAGAUGGCAAACGUCCCAGAGGACGCAGUCCCACGAGAUGGUCGGACCAAAUACGAUCUUCUCUGAGCAUCAAUUUCCACAAUGCCCUUCAUGAAGCAAAGGAUCGCGGCAGAUGGAGGGAAGUCGUACGGGAGAAACUGAUGCAGCGGGGGAGUCUCGACCCUCAGUAAUGAGGAAAACGACGCGAGGAGGAGGGGGCGGCGCGGCCCUGGGAUGCGAUGCACUGCAUAUCAGACGAGGACGAGGACGGUGACCGGUGCUUGAGGUGCCUAAAAGCUCCGAGAAUGAAUCCGGAGGAUCCGACAAGACAUGUUUCUGGCGACGGCGGCUUUGCGUUGUCCCGUUCUUUAUUCGUUCCACCUAUCUAUAUCUCUACUUUGGACCCAAAAGCAUCUGUGAAGGCUUAAUCAUAUAAAAAAAUCCUUUUUCCAACAUUCUCAAGAAAAGCUUGCUUAUGCAAGUUCCGAUCAUCAUUUGAACCCUGACCUUACCUUUGACGUUGCUCUUAAACCGUAUGUCUCGUUAGGCUAUUAAAGAUGUUUUUCCAAUGCGUUCGUGUUAUUUGAGAAUGGCUGAGCGCUAGGAUUUUAUUGCUUAGAUGGGUGGACGAGCUCACAGCCCACCUGGUGUUAAGUGGUUACUGAAACCCAUAGACAUCCACAACGUAAAUGCGCGACCCACCUUCUAAGGUCUCAAGUAUAGUUACAACGGCUGCCCCGCCCUUCAAACCGAAACCCAUGACUGCUUCACAGCAAAUAUAGGCAGGGUAGUGGUACCUACCCGUGUGGACUCACAAGAGGUCCUACCACCAGUAAAGAAUUAGGAAUUAGGAGUGUUCCAUAUUACGCGACACGACCCUUAAAUUUAAACGAAUAUUUAUUAUCAACUUGAUAUCGCUUCUGACCUUAAGACCCAAUGAAACAGAAUCUACAUUUUAAUAGUGGCCUUGGAUUGUGCCGUGCAUGUUAAUUUACGAUUUUAGUCUGUAUUUAUAAUUUUGAAGUGAAACUUUUUUUAGGCGCGCUGAGAGUAAAAUUUAACUCGUGACAAAUCCGUUACGGCUAGAGAGAAAAGAUACAAUUUAGGAAGAGCGAGAGUGAGAAGAUAGACAGAGCGUCCAGCGAACCACUGUUUACGGGCGUCGACCACUAGAUGGCUUGUAAUAAAACUAAUAGUUUCUCAUUGCUCCUGUAGAUGGCAGUAACAACUUAACUAUCUUGUGAUGUUUUAUUUAGUUUAGCGACAUCUAUUGGUUUUCACAUAAACUACUACAUUGCAAGGACAACGGUGUGACCAGCUUAGUUUCUAAAAUAUUUACAGAUAGCGGUAUUUUAAAUAAAAGUUAUUUAGAAGAAAAAAAACACUACAUAGCAAAAGAAGUUUCACUUUUUUCACGUGCACCAAGUUGCAUACGCAUCAUUUUGUUCCCCCAUUGUAUUCUUCACUUAUACUAUUUUGAAUUUCCAUCUAUAACUAACUAAUCUAAGCACGAUAAAGCACCUCAAUGGCCAUUUACAUAUAUUCUGAAUAAAUGAUCACUUUGUAACACUUAGUACACUUGAUAACAUUAAUGAAUUCAAUAAAUUUUCUGGUUUGAU